AGAGUUUGAUCCUGGCUCAGAUUGAACGCUGGCGGCAGGCCUAACACAUGCAAGUCGAACGGUAGCACAGAGAGCUUGCUCUCGGGUGACGAGUGGCGGACGGGUGAGUAACGUCUGGGAAACUGCCCGAUGGAGGGGGAUAACUACUGGAAACGGUAGCUAAUACCGCAUAACGUCGCAAGACCAAAGUGGGGGACCUUCGGGCCUCACACCAUCGGAUGUGCCCAGAUGGGAUUAGCUAGUAGGUGGGGUAAUGGCUCACCUAGGCGACGAUCCCUAGCUGGUCUGAGAGGAUGACCAGCCACACUGGAACUGAGACACGGUCCAGACUCCUACGGGAGGCAGCAGUGGGGAAUAUUGCACAAUGGGCGCAAGCCUGAUGCAGCCAUGCCGCGUGUAUGAAGAAGGCCUUCGGGUUGUAAAGUACUUUCAGCGGGGAGGAAGGCGAUGAAGUUAAUAGCUUCACCGAUUGACGUUACCCGCAGAANAAGCACCGGCUAACUUCCGNCCAACAAGCCGCGGUAAUACCGANGGUGCAAGCGUUAANUGGAAAUACUGGGCCGUAAGCGCACGCANGCCGNCNUUUCAAUUCGAUGUGAAAAANCCCGGGGCUUAACUGGGANUGGNUNUAAANUGGNGCUUUANUNUUUAAAGGGGNAGAAUUCCGGGUACGNGNAAGCCUA
RNAcentral lists this ribosomal RNA (683 nucleotides) under uncultured bacterium. RNAcentral's name for it is "partial 16S ribosomal RNA". It matches the Rfam family "Bacterial small subunit ribosomal RNA", at positions 8 to 692 of the family's 1533-position model. The record is from RNAcentral.